Molecule: ribosomal RNA, 957 nt
Filed under: uncultured bacterium
Lineage: Bacteria
Description: bacterial SSU rRNA
Rfam family: Bacterial small subunit ribosomal RNA
Source: RNAcentral
GACGAACGCUGGCGGCGCGCCUAACACAUGCAAGUCGAACGAGAGAGAGGGAGCUUGCUUCCUUGAUCGAGUGGCGAACGGGUGAGUAACGCGUGAGGAACCUGCCUCAAAGAGGGGGACAACAGUUGGAAACGACUGCUAAUACCGCAUAAGCCCACGACCCGGCAUCGGGAAGAGGGAAAAGGAGCAAUCCGCUUUGAGAUGGCCUCGCGUCCGAUUAGCUAGUUGGUGAGGUAACGGCCCACCAAGGCGACGAUCGGUAGCCGGACUGAGAGGUUGAACGGCCACAUUGGGACUGAGACACGGCCCAGACUCCUACGGGAGGCAGCAGUGGGGAAUAUUGCACAAUGGGGGAAACCCUGAUGCAGCGACGCCGCGUGGAGGAAGAAGGUCUUCGGAUUGUAAACUCCUGUUGUUGAGGAAGAUAAUGACGGUACUCAACAAGGAAGUGACGGCUAACUACGUGCCAGCAGCCGCGGUAAAACGUAGGUCACAAGCGUUGUCCGGAAUUACUGGGUGUAAAGGGAGCGCAGGCGGGCGAUCAAGUUGGAAGUGAAAUUCAUGGGCUCAACCCAUGAACUGCUUUCAAAACUGGUCGUCUUGAGUAGUGCAGAGGUAGGCGGAAUUCCCGGUGUAGCGGUGGAAUGCGUAGAUAUCGGGAGGAACACCAGUGGCGAAGGCGGCCUACUGGGCACCAACUGACGCUGAGGCUCGAAAGUGUGGGUAGCAAACAGGAUUAGAUACCCUGGUAGUCCACACCGUAAACGCUCAUAAAGGGGUGUUGGGAGAUUGACCCUCUCAGUGCCGCAGUUAACACAAUAAGUAAUCCACCUGGGGAGUACGACCGCAAGGUUGAAACUCAAAGGAAUAGACGGGGGCCCGCACAAGCAGUGGAGUAUGUGGUUUAAUUCGACGCAACGCGAAGAACCUUACCAAGUCUUGACAUCCUCUGACGAA